UGCGUAGGCGGAAAAUUAAGUCAGUGAUGAAAUCCUGCAGCUUAACUGUAGAACUGUUAUUGAUACUGAUUUUCUUGAAUUCAGUUGAGGUAGGCGGAAUGUGUAAUGUAGCGGUGAAAUGCUUAGAUAUUACACAGAACACCGAUUGCGAAGGCAGCUUACUAAGCUGAUAUUGACGCUGAGGCACGAAAGCGUGGGGAGCGAACAGGAUUAGAUACCCUGGUAGUAC
This 229-nucleotide ribosomal RNA is filed under the name uncultured bacterium. RNAcentral's name for it is "partial 16S ribosomal RNA". It matches the Rfam family "Bacterial small subunit ribosomal RNA", at positions 568 to 796 of the family's 1533-position model. The record is from RNAcentral.